Molecule: transfer RNA, 72 nt
Filed under: Bos taurus (domestic cattle)
Lineage: Eukaryota; Metazoa; Chordata; Mammalia; Artiodactyla; Bovidae
Also listed under: 3 other names
Rfam family: tRNA
About the family: Transfer RNA (tRNA) molecules are approximately 80 nucleotides in length. Their secondary structure includes four short double-helical elements and three loops (D, anti-codon, and T loops).
Source: Rfam by way of RNAcentral
UCCCAGGUGGCUCAGCUGGUAACGAAUCCACCUGCAAUGUGGAAGACCUGGGUUCGAUCCCUGGAUUGGGAA